Gallus gallus (chicken) is the source of this 614-nucleotide long non-coding RNA. RefSeq lists it as uncharacterized. The transcript has 3 exons. Lineage: Eukaryota; Metazoa; Chordata; Aves; Galliformes; Phasianidae. The record is from RefSeq and is a predicted model, not a curated record.
AGUUCAGUGAAGUAUUCUUGUAUAGUCAGUUAAGGGACAAACAUUGCUGAGCCCCUGCUAACUAGCUAUGUAAUGGGAAAGUUCCUUAACAUUCAAAUGUUCAAGAAGUGUUUUGUUGAGACUAUGGAACAUGUAUUUCAAAGGAUCCAAUGGCAAACUGCUACAGAGGACAACAGAGCACAGGAGAGCUGGUUGAACAUCCUUGGAGAAUAAAAGCAGUCCUUUUUGAUGCGCAGGAAGGUGAGCAAGUGUAGGAAAAGGUCAAUAUGGAUCAACAACAGGGAAAUCCUGAAUGAGCUCAAACCACCAGAAGCACAUGAAGGAGGAGGAAUGGAUGUCCUAGGAGGAAUGUAGAGGCAGUACCCAAACAUACAAGGAUGGAGCUGAGAAAGCCAAGGCUUGCCUGGAGUGGAGACUCGCCAGAAUGUGAAAGGCAAAAUGAAGGACUUCUGUAAGCACAUCAGCAACAAAAGGAAGGCAGGGGAAAUGAUUUACGUGGAGUUUAAGCACAUAAAUCCCAGCACAGGCAUUUUUUUUAGUGGAUCUGGUGAUUUAAAAUUUUUUUUAGCUGGAUUUGGCUCACUUUUAUAAUGUUGCGGUGCUUAUAAAACUAC